Vulpes vulpes (red fox) is the source of this 108-nucleotide small nuclear RNA. NCBI's taxonomy places the organism in Eukaryota, Metazoa, Chordata, Mammalia, Carnivora, Canidae. The record is from Ensembl.
AUACUUGUGUCAGCGGCAUAUAUAUUAAAAUUGGAGAGAUUCAGAGAAGAUUAGCAUGGUGCCUGCCCAAGAAUGACAUAUAAACCACAAUUCAUGGAAUCCCUGUGU